Molecule: long non-coding RNA, 531 nt
Organism: Numida meleagris (helmeted guineafowl)
Lineage: Eukaryota; Metazoa; Chordata; Aves; Galliformes; Numididae
Exons: 2
Source: RefSeq, a predicted model, not a curated record
GUGGCGGGGGCCGCCAGGGGUCGCCGCCGUCAGGCGAGGGCCGGGGCCGGGGCCGGGCCCGGAGCUGCCGUACUGCAGCCCCGCCUUAGCGGGUGCCCAUAGCGGGACGAGAGCUUGGCUGUGCGCCGGCGCUGUGUGCGCAGAAACGCGGCCCAAACCCUCUCCAGAUCGUACUGCGGACACCCGAGGUUGCCAGGCCGCGGGUCACAGAGGUCGUUUUCUCUCCGUUGGGCCCACAGGGCUCCAGGCAAACUGAAGCACGCAGAUAGCAUGAUGCCUCUGAAGUGGAAACAGAUUUGGAAAAGCUACAACGCCCGUUUCAUCCUUCAAGCUCAAUCACAGAACUGUUUGUGAAAGAAGACACUUUUCAUAACUUUUUUAACCCCACAUCAAGAGGCCUCCAGCACCAAUUCCACAGUUUUCUAAUAAACUCCUGAGGUCAGACACGUAUUACCUGAAGUUGCACCUUGACACUGAUGAGGAACAUCAAGUUUCUUUACUUUUUUUAAAAAAUAAAACAAUUUGUAGCGA